UCCCCGGCAUCUCCACCA
Molecule: non-coding RNA, 18 nt
Filed under: Xenopus tropicalis (tropical clawed frog)
Lineage: Eukaryota; Metazoa; Chordata; Amphibia; Anura; Pipidae
Also listed under: 2 other names
Source: RNAcentral